GGUCAAGCGACCAAGCGUAUACGGUGGAUGCCUUGGCAGUCAGAGGCGAUGAAGGACGUGGCAGCCUGCGAAAAGUGUCGGGGAGCUGGCAACAAGCUUUGAUCCGGCAAUGUCCGAAUGGGGAAACCCACCGCGCAAGCGGUAUCCGUAACUGAAUUCAUAGGUUGCGGAAGCGAACCCGGGGAACUGAAAUAUCUAAGUACCCGGAGGAAAAGAAAUCAACCGAGAUUCCGUCAGUAGCGACGAGCGAACGCGGACUAGCCCAAAAGUUUCUAGUGUUUUAGCCGAACGGUUUGGAAA
RNAcentral lists this ribosomal RNA (300 nucleotides) under Rhodanobacter sp. DHB23. RNAcentral's name for it is "partial 23S ribosomal RNA". It matches the Rfam family "Bacterial large subunit ribosomal RNA", at positions 1 to 348 of the family's 2925-position model. The record is from RNAcentral. Lineage: Bacteria; Pseudomonadati; Pseudomonadota; Gammaproteobacteria; Lysobacterales; Rhodanobacteraceae.